AUUGAACGCUGGCGGCAUGCCUUACACAUGCAAGUCGAACGGCAGCACGGGUGCUUGCACCUGGUGGCGAGUGGCGAACGGGUGAGUAAUACAUCGGAACAUGUCCUGUAGUGGGGGAUAGCCCGGCGAAAGCCGGAUUAAUACCGCAUACGUUCUACGGAUGAAAGCGGGGGACCUUCGGGCCUCGCGCUAUAGGGCUGGCCGAUGGCUGAUUAGCUAGUUGGUGGGGUAAAGGCCUACCAAGGCGACGAUCAGUAGCUGGUCUGAGAGGACGACCAGCCACACUGGGACUGAGACACGGCCCAGACUCCUACGGGAGGCAGCAGUGGGGAAUUUUGGACAAUGGGCGAAAGCCUGAUCCAGCAAUGCCGCGUGUGUGAAGAAGGCCUUCGGGUUGUAAAGCACUUUUGUCCGGAAAGAAAUCCUUGGCCCUAAUACGGUCGGGGGAUGACGGUACCGGAAGAAUAAGCACCGGCUAACUACGUG
Molecule: ribosomal RNA, 486 nt
Filed under: uncultured bacterium
Lineage: Bacteria
Description: partial 16S ribosomal RNA
Rfam family: Bacterial small subunit ribosomal RNA
Source: RNAcentral